Molecule: unclassified non-coding RNA, 602 nt
Filed under: Zea mays
Lineage: Eukaryota; Viridiplantae; Streptophyta; Magnoliopsida; Poales; Poaceae
Description: misc RNA Zm00001eb021330
Source: RNAcentral
UGUAGAUAGGAGGAAGGAACAUAGCUGGGGUGGAAAAAACAACCGCUGCUCAUCUCCCGCGUUGGAGCUGCUACGAAUCCAAACUUAAUUCAGAACCACAGAUAAAGAAUCAAGCGUUGAUCUCCGCAUCACACUGCUGCUCCCUGUGACAGCUUCUUCGGCUCCAGAACAUGCCUGAGCAACUGGCCCGGUCUAGAUCCCCCUCCCCCCUCUUGUCCAGCUCCAUGCUUGCGCUGUGCGAGGGCCGGGGAGACUGGAACUCGGGACCAUCCUGCACGUCUGUAUCGCCGCAUGGAUCGUCGUCGCUGCACCUGCAGGUUGGGAGGGCGGACGACGGGAAUGGGCUGCAGGUGAUUGGACAGACCAGCUCCGAAGAGACAGCUGCCACACGGUUCCGUCUGAUUUCAGCUUUGGAGAAAGUGGCUGGCGAGUCCAUGGACCGGGCGUUCAGUAUGCAUGGGUUGCAGAAUGUGAGCGCUGAACCUGAUUUAAGCCCUUCUGUUGGUGUGCUUGGUAACUUGGUGAAAGACAUUAUGCCGUUCCGACAAAGAGGGCACGGGAUGGACCCAGGUGGGCCUGUGAACUCGACACGGAUGUUGCUG